UGCCAUGACAGCAGGUCCCACCCUGCCCAGGACCAUGCUUCCAGAAACUACUUUUGAGGCAUAUAUUUUGCCUGAGUUUUUAUUGAAAAGAAUGUAAAAUGAGAGCUUAUGUUAAUUUUAUAAUCAGAAUUAGGGAAAAAUGUGAGCCAAGUAUUAUGUGAGUGCUUUGUUGAUAAUUUUAUAUUCUUCCAUUUCAUUGGAUUUUUCUGUGCUCCAAAGGGACCAGAAGGUUACGCUUAGAGCUCUAAAUACCUGACAUCAUCUACUGGGAAAACUAAGGGAGGGCGUGUGUCAGGGGUGUUUCUGAGCAUCUUGCUCAGGGAGUCGCCAGAGGUUAGCACCGACUCUCACGGUGACUGCUUUAAUAUAGUAUAUCCUCAGCAAACACAGAGCUUGACUGGAGUCACAUGAAAAUUUUAAAUGUGAAGGGUAUUGAUUCAAAAAAUUUUAAAGGUAUAUUUGUUUAUUUGAAAGGCAAAGUUACAGAGAAGGAGAAAAUAUUCCAUCCUCUGGUUCACUCCCCAAGUGACCUCGAUGGUCAGUACUGGCCAGGCUGAAGCUAGGAGCCUGGAACUCCUUCCAGGACUCCCACGUGGGUGGCAGGGGUUCAGGUACAUGGACCAUUUUCUGCUUUCCCAGGUGCUUUAGCAGGGAGCUGCACUGGGAAGUGGAACAGCAGGAACCCGAACCAGUACUCGUCUGGGAUGCCUACAUUGCAGGAAGUGACUUAACCUGCUGAGUCACAGCUCUAGCUCCAAAGGACUAUUGGUUAUAAAAUACAAAUUUAUUUUUCCUUUUAAAGAUGUAUUUAUUUAUUUAUUGGAAAAGCAGAAUUAUAGGGAAGAGAGGGAGAGGGAGAGAAAGAUCUUGCAUCUGCUGGUUUACUCCCCAGAAUGCUGCAAUGGCUACAGGUAGGCCAAGCCAAAGCCAGGAGCUUCAUCCAGGUCUCCCACAUGGGUAGUAGUGGCCCAAGCACUUGGGCCAUCUUCUGUUGCUUUCCUAGGCACAAUAGCAGGAAGCUGGAUUGAACAUGGAGCAGUGGCCUAAUCCACUGUGCCACAAUGCUGGCCCCAUAAAAUACAAAUUUAAAUACUGACAAACAGACAUAAUUUAGAUUUUUAAAAAUUAUUCUAGAUUUACUCUCCAUUUAAAUUUUUUUGUGGACUCAUUAUUAUUCUAUUCCUAUCCAUAUUCUAUUCUGUUCUUCCAUCAGAAUUGAGACUGAGGUGUGGUGGAUCAUAGGCCUGUAAAGGUGUGCUUGCCAGAGGCUCUCCACAGAGAAAGCUCAGUGAGGGUAGAUGGGAAGGGGUAGGGGCCCUCUUAGAAAGCUCUCAGUCACUGCUUUCAUUGUGUUACUUCCUUCUUCCCAGACCCUCAGUUCCUGUACAUUGUCUGAAAGUUAAAAUGGAAACUUAGUCUUACUGUCAAAGCUAUCCUUGAUUUUUUUUAAAGAUUUAUUUUUGUAUUUGGAAGGCAGAGUUACAGAGAGGCAGAGGCAGAGAGAGAGGUCUUCCAUCUGCUGGUUCACUCCCCAAAUGGCUGCAAUGGCUGGAGUUGGGCUGAUCCGAAGCCAGGAGCUUCUUCCCGGUCUUCCACGUGGUUGCGGGGACCCAAGGACUUGGGCCAUCUUCUACUGCUUUCCCAGGCCAUAGCAGAGAGCUGCAUUGGAAGUGGAGCAGCUGGGACUCAAACCAGUGCCCUUAUGGGAUGCCAGCACUGCAGACAAUGGCCUUACCUGCUACACCAUAGCCGGCCCCAAAGCUAUCCUUUUUUUUUUUUUUUAAAGAUUUAUUUAUUUGAAAGAGUUAUACAGAGAGAGAGAGAGAGAGAGAGUGAGUUGUCUUCCAUCUGCUGGUUCACUCCCCAAUUGGCCGCAACGGCUGGAGCUGUGCUGAUCUGAAGCCAGCAGCCAGGAGCUUCUGGGUCUCGCACAGGGGUACAGGGGCCAAAGGACUUGGGCCAUCCUCCACUGUUUUCCCAGGCCGUAGCAGAGAGCUGGAUUGGAAGUGGAGCAGCCAGGACUUGAACUGGCACUCAAAUGGGAUGCCGGGACUGCAGGCAGCGGCUUUAUCUGGUACACCACAGUGCUGGCCCCCCAAAGCCAUCCUUAAUUUAAGAGCUGUCUUUUGCAGCAGGUUGUCAUUUUACUAUUGCCGUGCGUGGUUUCUUUCUUCCUGGAUUAUUCCUGUUCGCUUAGCUGAAUUCUCCCCCUCCUGGAAGACUCAGUUGAAGUUUGACUCCUUUAUGAAAGCUUUCUCAUUCUCUAGUCCACAGAGAAUGUUUCCUAUUCUGAGUUUACAAAGAUAUUCUUUCCUGGAAUAAUAAUUUGGUACUUAACUCAUAUUGUCUUUCAUUAUUAGCUUAUAUGAAUGCAUUUAAAAAACAUUUUAAACUCUUGGUGGGAAGGAGUGUGUAUUGGUUAUCCAUGCUACAUAACCAGAGGCCUCAGUUCCUGGCUACAUGGAUCUCUCCAUAGAGUACUCACUGCAGGAUGGACACCACAGUCUUGUACCACCUAGUCUCAGAAGUCACUGCACCACUUCCACUCUGUUCUGUUGUUCACACAGGGAUUGACCAAGGAUGUGACUACCAAGAGGUGAGGAUUACUGGGGACCACCCUAAACAGUUGUAGAUCAUCAUUGUCUGAAUCGAAUCUAAAUAGGUCAAAGGAAUAGGCCAAACUUUGUUAACUCAGUCCUCUCAAAGAGCUAUUUUUGUGCUGUUGUGAACUGCCAGCAGCUGUAGAUCUCAGUGUGGUCUCUGGGCCUCUGGGGAGGAGGGUGUCUAUGAGACCAUUUCGAGGACUCUCUGAGGUCAGAACUGGCUUUGUUUGUGUAGUUACUUAUUUUAUUUAAAAGGCAGAGAGAGAAAGAGAGACAGAGAUCUCCCAUUUACUGGUUUACUCCCCAAAUUUCGGCAACAGCCAGCAGCUGGGGACUCAGUCUGGUUUUCCCACAUGAGUGGCAGGGACCCAGGUAUUUAAGCCACCUGCUGCCCUCCCGGGUCAGGUGUGCACUGCUGCCCUCCCAGGUGUGCACUGCUGCCCGUCCCGGGUCAGGUGUGCACUGCUGCCCUCCCAGGUGUGCACUGCUGCCCGUCCCGGGUCAGGUGUGCACUGCUGCCCUCCCAGGUCAGGUGUGCACUGCUGCCCUCCCGGGUCAGGUGUGCACUGCUGCCCUCCCAGGUGUGCACUGCUGCCCUCCCAGGUGUGCACUGCUGCCCUCCCGGGUGUGCAUUGGUAGGAAGCUUGAAUUGGAAUAGAGCCAGCACUUCAACUCAGGUCCUGUGAUAUGGUAUGUUGGCAUUCCAAGUGGCAUCUUAACCACUAUGCCAAAUGCCCACCUGUUUAUUUGUUUUAAGCAGUGAAUAUGUGCAAGUGACUAGCACAGUUAUUCCUAUAAGUUUACUGCCACCACUUUGAUUCAUGCUAUAAUUCCAUCAUCUGUUUUUCCCAUCAUUGCUUUUGUACUGUCAGUGCCAAUAUCAACAUAAUAAGGAAGGCAAGUAGUAUUAUUCAAAAUAGUUUUGAAAAAAUCUAAAGUGUUCUCAGACCACACUUUGAGACUUGCUGGAAUUAACUGUAAAUGCAUCCUUACUGAAAAUACUUAAUGAUGUACUGGAAAGUCUAGUAUUUGUAGUUGAGGGAGGCCUAACUUCACUUAACCUAUAGAGACUUGGAGUCAGAGGUAGAGAUAAACUUUCUCCAUAUUUUUUUUUAUUUACUUACUUUUAAAAAAAUGUGUUUUGUCUAUCUGAAAGGCAGAAUGAGAGGGAGAGGCAGUGAGAGAGGUCUUUCACGCAUUCCUGGUUCUCUCCCCAGUGGCUGCAACAGCCAGGGCUGGGCCAGGCUGAAGCCCGGAGCCUGGAGCUCCAUUCAGGUCUCCCAAGUGGGUGACAGGAGCCCAAGGACUCGGGCCAUCUUCUGCUGCCUUCUCAAACACAUUAGCAGGGAGCUGGAUUAGAAGCAUAGUAACCAGGACUGGAACCAGCACUCUAUGGGAUGGCAGCUUAACCCAUCACGUCACACGUGCCGCCACCUCUACUCUCUCGUGUAUUUUUUCUUUUUUCUUUUUUUCUUUUUUUUUUUAAAGAUUUGUUUGUUUAAUCGAAAGGCAGAGUUACAGAGAGGCAGAGGCAGAGGUAGAGAGAGAGGUCUUCCAUCUAAUGGUUCACUCCCCAAAUGGCUGCAAUGGCUGCAACUGUGCCAAUCCAUAGCCAGGAGCCAGGAGCCGCCUCUGAGUCUCCUACAUGGGUUCAGGGGCCCAAGGACUUGGGCCAUCUUCCACUGCUUUUCCAGGUCAUAGCAGAGAGCUGGAUCUGAAGUGGAACAGCCGAGAUUCGAUGGGAUGCUGGCAUAUGGGAUGCUGGCACUGCAGACGGCAGCUUUACCUGCUACGCCACAGCACCAUUCUUGCUCACGUGUUUUUUCAAAUAAGUAUUACAACCUUCAGAGAGGAAAAUUUGAUGAAAUCUGGGUAAAACAGAAAUCAGAUUAGGAAGUAUUCAAGGAUGAACAAUUCUUGCCAGCAACAGCUCAGCUUUCUAAUGGAAAAGGAAAAUAUUUUUCACUUAACUAGAUUUUUUUUUUUUUUUUUGGUGGUAUACAAAUGAUGGUAUACAAAAAUUAGAAUGACUUAUUUGAAGGGGCAGUGGAAAGGAAUAAUACAGUAAGUAAGCUCAAAGAAGUUCAGAAGUUCGUGGGUUUGGGUACUUGCUUUUACCUCAGAGUUUUUUUCAGGAGCCAUCAUUGUGGUGUAGCAGGUUAGGCUGCCUCCUCAGAGGUUGGCAUCCCAUGUGAGUACCAGUUGGAGUCCUGGCUGUUCCACUUCUGACCCUGCUAUUGUACCUGGGAAGGUAGCAGAAAAUGGCCUAAGUAGUUGGACUCCUGCCAACCACAUGGGAAAUCUGGAUGGAGUUCCAGGUUCCUGGCUUUGGCCUGGUCCAGCACUGGCUGUUGCAGCCAUUGGAAUAGUGAACCAGCGGAUCAAAGAUGUCUCUGUCUCUCUCUCUUUCACUAAGUAACUGCCUUUCAAAUAAAUAAAAAAUCAUUUUAAAGGUGUUUUUUUUCAAUCUUUACUUGGAAUUCAACAAAAGCUGCCUUAAAUUUAAAAAGAAAGCCCGGGUGUCUCCUUGUCUCUGAUGUCUCUCUCAUUGUCUCUGACGUCUGUCUCAUUGUCUCCUUCCAUCUGUCGCUGCAGAACUGCUUCUGGCUUCCUGGCCCACUGAGAACUGUUAAGCAGGGGAAAGGGCAGUGUUCAAAAUAGACUGAAACAAGUAAUUCCUUCCUACGCUGUAUUUCUCUCUCGAUCUGGAUUUCCUUUCUUUUGGCUAAUUCAUGUUGAGCUUAAGAUCCACAAUAUUUUGCCUGUCUCACCAUAGAGAUACACGGACGUUUCAUAUUCUGUUCCCAAAAGUGUAACUCAAUAGGUCCUUCCAAUUUUCCUCUCUGGCUUAGUUAUCGUCGCUAUUAUCUUCUCAAUUACACAGGCUUGAAAUCCUGGAUUCAUCCUUGAUUCCUCUCCUCUGUAUUCAAGAGCCAAAUCCUGUGUUGAUUUCUGUUCUAUCUCUGUAAUUGUCUUCAUCCUUUUUCUUCCUUUUCUGGGUUCUCUGGUUUGUGACCCAAUCAUUGUGUCUAAUGAAUUAUCACAGUAUGCCUCUAAAUGGUCUUUGCCUUUCUUCUCUCUCCAUCUGAACCUCAAUCAGACCCUGUUGGCAGCUGUCUCUAAAACCGGGGACAGUGCCACCUGCUGGGAUGUUUGGGGAUGUGUGAGGUCGUUGUUGUCUCACCUGGAAAGCAUACAGUCCUUUGGUAGGCAAGGGCCAGCGAUGCUUAAUGUCCUGCAGUGAUUGGGACAGUCCUACCCACAGAGAAUUGUCCUGUCCAGAAUGACCAGCUGUCCCGUUGGGAAACAUGACAAGACUGGUACCAGAGCCAGCUUCCCAUUCUUUUACCAAAAAGCCUCAGCCUUUCUGCACCAAGUGUUUCCAGUCUACCUGGCUUUCAGCCCCGGUUUACCUUCCCAGGGUGACUCACUGUCGCCUCCUUGCGCAACCAGUCUUUAGCCACAUGAGCCUUCUCAUUGUGUUUUGAACUUCUUGGCUCUGUUGGGGAACUGUGAUUUCACCACUCUCCCUGCCUCCUUCCCCCUCCCUUUCCUUUGCAUCCCUGGAAUUUUUUCUGCUGCUUCUUUUAGCAAAAGUGUCCUCUAAAAUUCAUAUUCAAGACAAAGCCAAAAUCCACGUUCUUCAUAAACUGCUCUCAAAUCCCCCACCCAGAAAUGAAGCUCUUCUCUCCUUCAGCUUGCCCUCCCCUGUAUGCAGUUCAUGCAUGCCUGUUUGGAUCACUCUCUGUGUAAGGGAGGCUACAAACAAAACAGGAAAGGACUUUGGACUUGGGAAUCAAGUUCCUCAGCCCCUCUGACCCACAAUUUCUUUAUCUGUAAAAUGUGUAACAAAUUCUGUGUAUGCCACAGGGUUGCUGAGAAAUGUAUUUGAGGAAGCAUUGUAGAGUGUGUGUUAAGCUGUAAAAUGAAGGGGUAUUUUCUCCACGGGGUUGUUGUCUACUUGAGGAUAAGCAGAGUGUAUUUUUGACAUCCUUUGUAUCUUUUCAUAUCACUUGGUUCUUAGUUGACACGCAAUAAUUUUGUUAAUGAAUUUUGAUAUGUUUUGUGGACUGAAGUACAGCGGAGAUGUGUGCACUGCACCGUCUUUCCUGUGUAGAAGUCUGGAACUGGAAAGGCAGGGGGAAUAAAAGGCCACUCUUGGAUUUUUUGGUGAGUGCGUACAUGGCUAAUUAUACACGCCUUGAUUAAUGGAUGUUCUUUUCAGAUUGAUGUAGGGGUCCGCUGAGUCUCCAACAUAAUGCUUUCAAAAAUGUGUUACUGCUUAGGCUGCACGUGCGAUCAGGUAUUUCCAUAUACGUGCUGAUUGUGCUCCUGCAGGAGCCUGCAGGCCCAGGCUGGAUAACCACCCUUGCUUAUUCCAUAGUUAUGUAAUUACAGACCUUAUCAAAUCUGUUCUGGCUUGUAGGUAUGAGACACAUGACAGCAUAGUCUCGUUAAGUAUGGGAUAAAUGCCUCAGGACUUUUCCCUGGAGACAGUGGAGCAACAAAAGAGAAUUUAACAUCUGAAAAUGCAAAUAUUAGAGUGCUCUUCAUUCAGCGAGCAUUAAUUGAAUGUUCCACAUAGUGUGUGGAAAAUAGGAAACUGCUGGAAGAUCUUACACUUGAGAUGAUUGUAAUACAGAAGAGAAGCAUUCAGAACUGUGAAGAACUGCUGGCUCGCUGUAUAAUUAAAUUGCAGAUAUUUGACCUUUAUUUGAAUAGGGAUUAUUAGAUAUUAAUUUGAGAUAUGCUUGUAAUAGUUCAUGGAGCACUCAAGCCCAUUUCAGAAAACUUGAAGAGAUUUAACAGUUGGAAUAAACAUUCUUAAUAUUAUCACUUAGCACAGUAUUCAUACUGUACUAUGAACUAUUUUACAUAGCAUAUUCCAGUGGUCUGCAUGUUUUGAAAGGAAAAUAUUCUAUUUGGAGAACUUGGGCAAAAGGAAAUGACUACUUGAACACUAAGGAUUAGUUCUUAAUUUUUUCUGAAAGGCCCAUUUAAACAUGUUGGGUGUUCCCACUAAGAUCAACCUAUAAGUGUCUUAAAAAUAGGCAACAAACAGAGUUCACUAGGAUGCUUGUCAGUUGAGUGUAAUAUAUGUACUUGUUUCCUCAUUCCAUUAUAGUUGAGUUCUAAAUACAGCUGCCUACAUGGGCUCCCUUCCUCUCCCAUCGUUGCUGAUACUGACUCCUGGUCAUUGACAGUACAGUUGUGUAUGAAACUCAGUUCCAGUCCCAUUGGCUUUGCAUACUUGGGGCUAUGCCUUCCUCUUCCAGAAACCUUCGUUUGCUCAAAGUGAAGCAGGAAAAUGCUGGUUGCCCUGUUUUAGUGCAGGAUUAAAAUACAUGUGGUAAAGACCUGAAGGGGCUGAGCUGCUGGCUGCGUUUUCAGUCCAAAUAGAGAAGAUUGUUUGCUUCUUUGAAAAAUAAAGGCACUGUGUUCUCUUGCUACAUGAAGAAAGCUUUAGCUGCUAAGAGUUUAUCUCUGGGGCCGGCGCCGUGGCUCACUUGGUUAAUCCUCUGCCUGUGGCACCAACAUCCCACAUGGACACCAGUUGGAGUCGCAGCUUCUCCACUUCCAAUCCAGCUCUCUGCUGUGGCCCGGGAGGGCAGUGGAGGAUGGCCCAAGUGCUUGGGCCCCUGCACCCACAAGGGAGACCAGGAAAGAAGCACCUGGCUCCUGGCUUCGGGUCGGCACAGCUCCGGCUGUUGCGGCCAUUUGGGGGGCGAACCAACAGAAGGAAGACCUUUAUCUCUGUCUCUCCCUCUCACUGUCUGUAACUCUACCUGUCAAAUAAAUAAAUAAAAUCAUAAAAAAAAAAA
Oryctolagus cuniculus (rabbit) is the source of this 8425-nucleotide non-coding RNA. NCBI's taxonomy places the organism in Eukaryota, Metazoa, Chordata, Mammalia, Lagomorpha, Leporidae. The record is from RefSeq and is a predicted model, not a curated record.